UACGGAGGGGGUUAGCGUUGUUCGGAAUUACUGGGCGUAAAGCGCACGUAGGCGGAUCAGAAAGUUGGGGGGUGAAAUCCCGGGGUCAACCCCGGAACUGCCUCCAAAAACUCCUGGUCUUGAGUUCGAGAGAGGUGAGUGGAAUUCCGAGUGUAGAGGUGAAAUUCGUAGAUAUUCGGAGGAACACCAGUGGCGAAGGCGGCUCACUGGCUCGAUACUGACGCUGAGGUGCGAAAGUGUGGGGAGCAAACAGGAUUAGAUACCCGGUAGUCC
This 273-nucleotide ribosomal RNA is filed under the name uncultured bacterium. Its description in RNAcentral is "partial 16S ribosomal RNA". It matches the Rfam family "Bacterial small subunit ribosomal RNA", at positions 524 to 796 of the family's 1533-position model. The record is from RNAcentral.